Long non-coding RNA from Parus major (Great Tit), 2303 nucleotides. The record is from Ensembl. NCBI's taxonomy places the organism in Eukaryota, Metazoa, Chordata, Aves, Passeriformes, Paridae.
CUUCUCCAGAAUUUAUUUAUUUAAAUCACUGCUCAGUGUUAGUCUUGGUGUAAUGGUCUAAAGGAUGAUGACUGUGAGCACCUUAUGGAGGUGAAGGCAGACACUGCUGUUUCAGGGUGUGUACAGUUUGGUCCUAUUGAUGUCAUACUUUUGGUCUGGUAGCAGGCACUUUUGGGUUUUAUUUCCUGUUUCCUUAUUUGCUGCACCCAGGCCUGUGCUGCCCAGAUUCCCACACCUGCUGUGUAAGUGCAUUCACCUGUAAUAAACAAAAAAAAAGGCAAGUGUUCCCAUCCUCCCCCAGAGUGUCACACUCAGUUAUCACAAACUGCAGCAGCCUUUGUUUCAGCCUGGGUAAGAGCAGAGUCCAUCCCUUUGUUCCCCGAGCUUUCCUGCUCCCUCUUUCCCUCCUCCUGUCUUUGUCAGAGUCCAUGUGAACGCUGCCUUUGCCUCAUUUAUCUUUUCAUCCCCAGCUCAGCGCAGCCUCCUGUUUCACUGUGACAUCCCAGGGUGUCUGUGAGGUUUCUAACACUCUCCCCCCUUCGGCUGACAUUAAAUGCAGGCUUUUUGCUGAUCAUCAGAAACACGCCUCUGUUCAGCUCUGGAGGGAAGGAACAAUGCUGCUCUGUAGAGGUGGGGUUUGCUCACUCCUGACUUUAUUCUGUUCUCGUUGGUAAUCAGGAGUAAAAUUCCUGCUGGCUGCAGUGAGACCAAAGCUGGGCUGAAACUCAUGGCUUUUGAAAAUCUCCUGCCUGCAUCCUUUGGGUCUGUUUUUCUGAAGGAUCAAAAUGAGAAGGCACUUACUGAACUCAGGUUUUUCUCUGGCCUGCCUUGUGUGUGUGCACAGGAAGGACGAUCCUGCCCUGAAAUCCUGAUGUAUGCCACCAUUCCUCUAGGAUCUGAGUGCUGGCUUCCCUUCCCCGGCACCCUUAGCUGUGCUGAGGCUCAGCUUUGGUGGGAGGUGAGGUGUUCCUGCUGUGUCAGGAGGUUUGGGAUGCUCAGGGAGCCCCAGCCCCACCACAGCCACAACAACCUGACACACAAACCUAAAACCAGGCCUAGGGAGGACAGAUCUCCUGGUGUCUCUCCCCCAGAGGAGACCAGGACUGGAGAAAAGGAGGAUCAGGGAGACCUCAGCCCCGACAGCUGCCCCAGGGAAACAAUUGACAGGAUGAGGAAACUGCCUCAAACUGCUCCAGGGAAGGUUCAGGACAUCAGGAGGGAUUUCUCCAUGGAGAGGGGGAUCAGGCAUUGGAAGGGGCUGCCCAGGGAGGUGGUGGAGUUGUCAUCCCUCAGUGUGUCCUAGGAAUGACUGGACAUGGCCCUCAGUGUUGUGGUGACAAGGUAAGGAUCUGGAUUUGGACUUGGACAUCAAAUCUUGUUUCCACCAUUUAAUUAAUUUAAUUUAAUUUAAUAAUUUAUUAAAAAUAAUUUAAUUUAAUUUCCACUUUAAUAACUCUGUGAUUCUGCUCCUAGUUCUGUUCUCUAGUUGUGAAAGUGUGGUAGCUUCAAAUACCAGAGGAAGAAAAUCUGGCCUGCACAUAAAGAGGCAAAGUUCUGUUACUUGACUGGCAAAAGAAAACACACCCUCAUGUAUCUGAAAUAAUUUCAAUUUAAAUCUGCAUCAAAAUGGUAGAAGCCUACAUACACAGGGAUUUUUAAUACUGAGAUUGGGUUUGUUAAUUUUAAGGACCUUGUUGGCUUUGUUUUGUUUUUUUCCAUUGUGCAUUCUAAAUUUUUAUUCUUUUAUUGCUGGAACAGAAAUUAGCAAGGAAUACUUGUAAUUGGAGUGUAACAGAAAGGAAACACAUUUUUCCAAAAAGAUAUAGGGAGCUGCUCUGCAGGAAGGAUGAGUAGUUUUAUCCUUGCUUUACAUCAGCGUAGUUCUCCAAAUUUAGUUUAUUUUUUGUUUGUUGGUUUGUUUGGUGGGUUCUGUUUGGUUGGUUUUUUGUUUCUGUUGUUUUUUUGUUGUUUUGUUUUGUUUGGGUUGUUUGGGUUCUUUUUUCAACGUGUGUUUUUUUUGUUUGUUUGGGGGUUUUUUGGUUUGGUUUUUUUUUGUUUUGUUUUGGUGGGGUUUUUUUGUUGGUUUGAUGUUUGUUUUUCGUAUUUUUGUUUUGUUUUUUGUUCUGUUUUCGAGGUGUUUUGGUCGUUUCUUUCCCCCCAAUAUCCUAACUGCUUGAACAGGACAGAACUAGAAUGAAAACCACCUAUUAUUUUUAUAUCAGCCCUACCUGAAGGUCCAAACCAACAUCACAGUAGCACCAGGAUAAACCCUUUCACAGCCCUGAGCAAAGAGAAAUGUGCUG